RNAcentral lists this ribosomal RNA (551 nucleotides) under uncultured Glomeromycotina. RNAcentral describes it as "SSU rRNA". It matches the Rfam family "Eukaryotic small subunit ribosomal RNA", at positions 548 to 1098 of the family's 1831-position model. The record is from RNAcentral. Lineage: Eukaryota; Fungi; Glomeromycota.
UUGGAGGGCAAGUCUGGUGCCAGCAGCCGCGGUAAUUCCAGCUCCAAUAGCGUAUAUUAAAGUUGUUGCAGUUAAAAAGCUCGUAGUUGAACUUCGGGGUUUACCCAUUGGUCAGGCUUAAUUGUCUGCACUGGUGAGAUGAAUCUCUACCUUCUGAGGAACUUUCAUGCCAUUUAUUUAGUGUGAUGGGAAAUCAGGACUGUUACUUUGAAAAAAUUAGAGUGUUUAAAGCAGGCUAACGUCUGAAUACAUUAGCAUGGAAUAAUGAAAUAGGACGGACUGAUUCUAUUUCGUUGGUUUCUAGGAUCACCGUAAUGAUUAAUAGGGAUAGUUGGGGGCAUUAGUAUUCAAUUGUCAGAGGUGAAAUUCUUGGAUUUAUUGAAGACUAACUACUGCGAAAGCAUUUGCCAAGGAUGUUUUCAUUAAUCAAGAACGAAAGUUAGGGGAUCGAAGACGAUCAGAUACCGUCGUAGUCUUAACCAUAAACUAUGCCGACUAGGGAUCGGACGAAGUUAAUUUUAUAAUGACGCGUUCGGCGCCUUACGGGAAAC